UCCACCUCCCAGUGGUGCCGCCCGGAGGAGAAACCACAGGACGCCAAGACUCGCGUGUUGGUGUCAAAGCGGCGUGGGUGGCAGGGCAAGUCCUGCGCCCGCUGUCCAAGGCGCACGCUCUUAAGAUCCAGAGAGAGGAUGAGGCGGGGGUUGGCAGUGUCGGGGUCCAAGGUCAGCUCCACUGAAGGCAGAGACAGGGAGAGAUGUCCCAUGCAAGCCUUCUCCCCAGCUCCCGUCAGUUACUUCUCCUCCACCAUCCCCCCCAAAACAUGUACAAGUGGAAGCCAAACAAAAGGAAUGUGUGAACCUAAUUUGGAUCACAAUUAGAACAGAUCGACAAAUACAAUUUAAAAGACAACUGGAGAAUUUCAAACACUAGGUAUUGGAAAGAAGCAUUACUUUUUCUAAUUGUGAUUAUGGCUUUGUGGGUUUUUUUAAGUCUAUCUUUAGAGAUAACAUACUGAUAUUUAUGGAAAUAACUUAUCCAUGAUUUGCUUCCAAAUAAUCCAGUGGGAAGAAGCAGGUAGGGGCGUUUAUAAAAAUAUCAGCUGAAGGUCUAUGAUGAGAACAUAAUAUUCAUUAUGAUCUUCUCUCUACUUUUGUAUAUAUUUAAAUUUUUUCAUAAUAAAAACUUAAAAUAUGCACACUUGUCAUAAGUACUAUGUUCUAGGACUAUUCUAGGCCCUGGGAAUCCCACGGUUCAGUAUCCCUGCCCUCCUGUAGCUUCCUUUCUGGGGGGAAGGAAAGAAGAGACAAUAAAUGGUAAACAUGGACAAUAAGAGGAGUCAGAAGAGAAGGCUGUAAUUUCAAUUAGAGUGGCCAGGGAAGGUGAAAAGGCCUAGGUAUGCAUUUGAGCAAAGACAUAAAGGAGGUGAGGAAGCCAGGCAUGAAGCUGUCUAGAGGAAGCAUAUUCAAGGCUGAGGCCAGCCAGUGCAGUGCAAAUGCUCUGAGGUGGGGGUGUGCUUAGUGCAUUUCAGAAGCAGCAAAGAGCACUUGUUGUGGCUGCACAGAGUAAGCUAGAGGGAGAGCGUGAAGUGAGUUCAGAGCCUAUGAAGCCUUGAAGAACAUAGAGAGGACAUUAUUGAAUGAGAGGGGCUGUCCUAGGGUUCUGUGCAGAGGAGGGUCAUGAUCUGACUUGGUUUAGAUCCUUCCAUGGUAAAUUCUGACAUAGCUUGAUCAAUCAUUAGCAUCAUGAAUAUGUGCCCCCCUCUGCCCUCCUGCAGAGUUGGAUCCCACUCACCCCAGAGCUCUGCAGUAGUAAGAAACUCCUCCCUUCCUGUCUUCAAUCUCUUCCUGCUUUGCCUGACCCCUGCACACAAGCCCUGUCCCCAGGAGAGGUCUCUGUUUGUCUGGAAGGGGGAAUGGGGAGAGAGGCUCAUCCAGGUGACUGGUCCGCAAUUUAUGGGCCUAAAGGUCCCACUGAGGCCUGAGGGAGCCAGAACUGGGAGGCAAGGAUGAGGGGAGGGCAGAGGCAGGCAGGUAGAAGGAACCAGCCAUUCACAAAGCCCAGAGAAACAAUCAUGGGGAGGCAGUGGAUUCUCUACAUGGCCAAAUAAUGGGAAAUCACUAUCACAAGAACCAUCUUACCUUUCUCCUCUUUCUCUAGCUCUCCACGAAGAUCCUCUGAGGAGGAGAAACAAAGCAGGAUAUUCGUAAAUGACUCAGAAGAUUGUCUAUCUGGCAAUGAUGGUAAAUAUCACCUCCUCUGACAUUUACAGCCAGAUACCCCGAAGGCUGAGAGUUGAUGUGUAGACACUGGGUCAAGUGUGAGGGGUCAGGAAGGGGCAGUAUCCUAGCUCUACCUCUUCCACUUCCCUCUCUUUUGCCUGAGCUAGUCUGAGCUGAGCUCUCCUUCCUCAUCCUUCUUCUUGCCCCAGUAGCCCUCUACCCUGCCUGUCUCUGGGGGAAUCUUUGUGCUCUGGGGAGCAGGGGCUGCUGAAUGGAUUUGCCACCACCAUCUCCCUGCGCCAAUCUGUCCUUGACAGAUUUUUCUAACAAACCUUCUGGAAAGGUUUUCUAACAAACCUUUUUCUAACAAACCUUCUGGAAAGACACAUUUCCUGGGCCCCCAAACUACCAGAAACACACCAUGGCCACCAGCACUGCAUGGCCCAACCCCAAGCACAGGCCCUACCUUUGAACUUCUUGAGCAGCCCCUUUAAGACAAAGGUCUUGAGGGAAACAUUCCAGACUUUAUUCUUCAUCUCAGAAGAGACUGUGGUUGGCUUGGGACCAGGCACAUUGCUGCAUCUGCAGGACAAAGAGCCUGAGGAAGGCCCACAAACACUGUCCCACUCCCACCAGGCUGUGACAAUUAGGAUGGUAAGGUCCUCUUGGUGGGGAGAGGUAGGAAAAGAGAGGCUGAUCUUGCAGCAGAAUAUCCACAGCCAUGCAGGUGGACAUUUGCCUUAGAAGGUACAUAGGUAAGGCAGUGUGGGAAUUGGGAGUGUGAGGUCAGGGAUGAGGGGAUGAAGAGAGAGAGCUCAGUGGAAAAGGAGAAGAGCCAGCUUGGAAAGACCUAAGGAAAUCUUAGGUCCACUCACCUGCUUAGUGUGUUCUUGAAUUCCUGGAAAGAAAGAUGAAAGAAAGCCAAAUCAGCACGAGGUAACCUCCAGUUACUUUUGAGAAAAUAAAACUGACCCCUUGUGCUGCUUCCAGAGGAAUAUGCAACUUUUUUUAUUUUUAUUUUUUUAGUAGGCUCCACAAGCAGUUUAUAGCCCAAGGUGGGGCUUGAACUCACAACCUUGAGAUCAAGACCUGAUCUGAGAUCAAGAGUCAGAGGCUUGGCCAACCAAGGCACCCAGGGAUCUAGGUACCCCCAGAGGAAUAAGCAAUAAGGUGUACUACCACUCCCUACCACCUUUAUGGGCCCAGGUGUCAAUGGCUUCCUGCUGUGGCUGGUUUCUGGGUGUCUUAUCAACUCUCUGCCCACAGCUUUGCAAAUGCUCUCUUCAUUACAGAAUCAUCACUGGAGCUUUGUGCUGGGAUCCAGUGUUGCCUACCCUCUCUACACCACCCCAGAUAAGUCACAGCUCUUAUGCAAUGACUGGUUACUCAUACCAGCACCUUUCAAAUGCCUAUUCUUGACCAAUUUGUGGAUUGUGACUAUUUAUUUAUUUUGAGAGAGCCCAUGAGCAAGUGGGGGAAGGGCAGAGAGCAAGGGAGAGAGAAUCCCAAGCAGGCUCCUUGCUGUCACUGCAGAUCCAUACGGGACUUGAUCCCACCAACCAUGAGAUCAUGACCUGAGCUGAAAUCAAGAGUCUGAAGCUUAACCAAGUGAGCCACCCAACCCCCCCCUUUUUAAAGUUUAUUAAUAAUUUAUUAGUAAUAUUAAUAAAUAUUGAGAGAAUGAGCAGGGGAAGGAGGGAGAGAGUGUGACUAUUUAUUUUAAAAGGAAAUAGAAUAGAAAAUGUCAAAGUACAUCCGGUGUAGUAAAGUAUUAUUUUAUGAGACUUUUGGCAUAAGGUUUACAUCCUGGAAUAUGACAUAAGCCUUGCAUAUAGCUCUUUGGAACUCCUUUCUGUCUGCUAGAUUGGAUGUUGCUCAAUUCAUGUCGUUGAGUAAAGCCAGUAAGAUCUUUAUUGUGACUCGAGGUCAAGAAAUUUUUAUCACAACUUUUUAGAACUUUAACCCCAGGAGAAUCAGGGCAGUUUUCUCCAGUCCCCUUCUGCUUGAGUAUGUGAUCCUACUAAAUUCACAGGAUCUAACUCUGUUCUCACUGUUUAUGAAGCCUUAGGAUAAAUGAUCCAUACCUCUGGCCAAGCCAGACUCACCUGGAGAAAGUCAAGGUCAGGCUUUCGAGAUGUCUCCUGGAUCUGGCUGCUGAGCUUGGAGAGCUGGGUGAUUUCACCCUCAAGCUGAGCUAUGUUCUCAUUUUGCUUCUGUGUCACCUCCCGUGAC
This 3900-nucleotide long non-coding RNA is filed under the name Lynx pardinus (Iberian lynx). The record is from RNAcentral. Lineage: Eukaryota; Metazoa; Chordata; Mammalia; Carnivora; Felidae.